AUGAACUUAGUUAGUAAAAGAAUAACAUAAGAAUAUUUAAAAUUACGAAAAAAUUCAUUUAACCGGUAUCACCGAGGGGUGGGUGUGUGUGUAGUCAUUUGGCGUAUAACUAUGGUCAACCCUAAAACCUCCUUCUUCCACCAAUUCCCAAAAUGAUGACAAGGAUGAUGAUGAUGAUGACGACGACAAUGAAAACAAUGAUGAGAUUGAUGACUACAUCAUUAUUGAUUGAUAUUGUACUAAAGAUUAGUUUUUUAGAGGCUACAUUUUGUGUAAAUUCCAAACUUACCUC
Molecule: long non-coding RNA, 292 nt
Filed under: Carica papaya (papaya)
Lineage: Eukaryota; Viridiplantae; Streptophyta; Magnoliopsida; Brassicales; Caricaceae
Description: long non-coding RNA (CPAP_LNC000375)
Source: RNAcentral